CUCUCUCUCUGUAGCCCAAGAUGGCUUUGAACUCUGUGUAGCCUAGGGUGGCCUCCUGCCUUAGCCUCCCAAGGGCUUGGCUCACAGGUGGGUACUGCCAUGCCUGGCCCCUGUAUUUGGCUGUGCUUAGAAAAUCUCUGCCCUCCUCGAGCUCACUCAUGUUCACCCUCGUUUAUUUCUCUAUUGCUAGUUCACUUCGCAAGUCACAUCUUCUUUAGAAUACCCCGUCGACCACGAUCAUGCCAACAGUGACUACUCAUACCACCGGCAUUUACGGUUGUCUCUUCACGCUGUUGGUGGUUUCUGUGGCUGUUCAAAAGGUUUUUAAUAAGGGCUGUUGUGAGGAUCAAACAAGAUAAUGUAUGCUAACACAUGCUGCCGACACUCCGUGCUGGGUACAGAAGUCGGUCAAUCGGUCGGUCUAUCGUCCUUCACUCUCACGAUGGACCCAGGAGGGCGUGGCUGUCCUCAUUCUGCAAAUCGCACAAGUCGGGGCACAAGACAGAGAGGCCAGGUCACGUCUCUGCAGUUACACAGCUCAAAGGAAGCCUCGCCGUGAAAGUGAUGCUGCACUCCUGAAGGCGACCUUGGACCUGACCCAGUGGGCAGUGGGAUGGACCUGACCCCUGGAGAGCUUGUCUGUCCUCUGCAUGGGAAGCCUUACCUGGGCAGGAUGGCCGCAGCGACCCCACUGGGAGCGGAAGACUUUGGAGACACAGUUGUUGCCCUCCACUGCAGCUGUAGUUCCUGCCGGGCAGAAUGUCCAUAAGGGCUGACUUAUUCAGCUGUCCUACGAAACAAAAGCUUGGCAGUUAGUUCUGUGGGCAAAGAACGUAGACAAUAAUGUAUUCUAAGAAAAUUUCUGAGCUCUCCUAAUUUUUUGAAAGACGCAAAUGGACUUUUUCAAGUCGUAAUAACUUGGUGUUUUAAGAAACAAGGACAUGUUUUUAAAAAUAGACUUUUGUUCCUCUGGAACACACAUAGCUGAUUUUAUCAUGUUCUAAUCAUGAGGAUCAUCACUGCCUCGGACUGCUAGUGAACGCAGUCUACGUGUAUCCAUGAUUAUCUUCCUGUGACGACCUUGUCUUCUAAGGAGAGAAGAUGUCAGUAAGGAGCACCCAGCGUGGGACUUGGUCCUUCUCAUGUGGUGAAAGUUUUGGCUGUUCCUCUUUGACAAAGGCAGAUUCCACGGACACGUCUCAGUCAAGGAGCGCGGGUUUAAUUCAGUCUCUGUGGAGGAAGAUUUGAGCUGUUGUCAUCUGAGCAUAGCUGCUCCCCAGCCGACCUCCUAGGAGCAGGGAGACCCAUAAUGGAUCAUCUAAAACUGAAGACAGCAUCCUUCCCAGGACGUGAAGUCUGCGGUUGACCCUAUGUGUUAGGAACAUGGAAACCAAUGUCUGUGUUUCUGCUUGAGUCUGAGGAGCAUGGACACCAACUACCGGGAAUCAAACUCACGAUCUUGUGCUUGCCAGGAUUGGAGCCUCCGAGCUGACACAGGCAUGCUGUCCUGGUCAUGAAGCCUGUGGUUUUUGGUACGUUAGGACCCAGAGACCACCAACGAACCCUCCCGCACUGACCGAAGCAUUCCACCCCUCGUCAUGAGUUCUGUGGUUCCCCUGUGUGUUAGGAACGUGGAGAGCGGUAAUGGAUGCUACCAAGGUGUUGAAACAUAUUUUCCUGGACUUGAAGUCUGUGAUUCUCUCUGUGUGUUAGGAACAUGCAAACUGACAAUGGAUGCACUCAGCCCGACUCGCGGAUUACCCUCGGUGGAGUCUCCGCCAUUACCUGUGUGGUUAGGUACACGGGCACAGAUAAUGGACACCCUGGAGCAGAUUUAAAGAGUCUUUCUUAGUGACAGAAUGGGUACACCCCGGCUGACUGAAGCAUUAUGUCCUGGCCUUUGCUGUCUCUGACGGACUCCAUGUGUAGCAUCAUGAAGACCAUUGCUUGUGUUAGAUCACGUUCUCAUUGUCUGUUGAGAAGAAGUAUUUCAGAUAAGUAAGAGGACCCACCAUGGUCCAAUAAGGAAAAAUAAAACUGAUACGAAACAUCAUCUCGGUUAUUUUUCUGAUAAUCAGGAUGAUUCUUUAAAGAAGCAGGGACACUAAAGGAAGCAAUGAUUCUGUGUACGUUUCUGUGGAUAUUUGGACCCCUGACAAUCUGUAAUCUGGAUGUGAAUAUUGGAAUUUGACAUAAAUUGAUGUAGCAAAUGGUUCUGGAGAUCCAUGUAGGUAAUUAAAUCACUUGUUCUUCUGGA
Molecule: long non-coding RNA, 2257 nt
Organism: Chinchilla lanigera (long-tailed chinchilla)
Lineage: Eukaryota; Metazoa; Chordata; Mammalia; Rodentia; Chinchillidae
Exons: 22
Source: RefSeq, a predicted model, not a curated record